This 1370-nucleotide ribosomal RNA is filed under the name uncultured bacterium. Its description in RNAcentral is "bacterial SSU rRNA". It matches the Rfam family "Bacterial small subunit ribosomal RNA". The record is from RNAcentral.
AGAGUUUGAUCCUGGCUCAGGACGAACGCUGGCGGCGCGCCUAACACAUGCAAGUCGAACGAGCGAGAGAGAGCUUGCUUUCUCAAGCGAGUGGCGAACGGGUGAGUAACGCGUGAGGAACCUGCCUCAAAGAGGGGGACAACAGUUGGAAACGACUGCUAAUACCGCAUAAGCCCACGGGUCGGCAUCGACCAGAGGGAAAAGGAGCAAUCCGCUUUGAGAUGGCCUCGCGUCCGAUUAGCUAGUUGGUGAGGUAAUGGCCCACCAAGGCAACGAUCGGUAGCCGGACUGAGAGGUUGAACGGCCACAUUGGGACUGAGACACGGCCCAGACUCCUACGGGAGGCAGCAGUGGGGGAUAUUGCACAAUGGGGGAAACCCUGAUGCAGCGACGCCGCGUGGAGGAAGAAGGUCUUCGGAUUGUAAACUCCUGUUGUUGAGGAAGAUAAUGACGGUACUCAACAAGGAAGUGACGGCUAACUACGUGCCAGCAGCCGCGGUAAAACGUAGGUCACAAGCGUUGUCCGGAAUUACUGGGUGUAAAGGGAGCGCAGGCGGGAAGACAAGUUGGAAGUGAAAUCUAUGGGCUCAACCCAUAAACUGCUUUCAAAACUGUUUUUCUUGAGUAGUGCAGAGGUAGGCGGAAUUCCCGGUGUAGCGGUGGAAUGCGUAGAUAUCGGGAGGAACACCAGUGGCGAAGGCGGCCUACUGGGCACCAACUGACGCUGAGGCUCGAAAGUGUGGGUAGCAAACAGGAUUAGAUACCCUGGUAGUCCACACCGUAAACGAUGAUUACUAGGUGUUGGAGGAUUGACCCCUUCAGUGCCGCAGUUAACACAAUAAGUAAUCCACCUGGGGAGUACGACCGCAAGGUUGAAACUCAAAGGAAUUGACGGGGGCCCGCACAAGCAGUGGAGUAUGUGGUUUAAUUCGACGCAACGCGAAGAACCUUACCAAGUCUUGACAUCCUGCGAUGCACAUAGAAAUAUGUGUUUCCUUCGGGACGCAGAGACAGGUGGUGCAUGGUUGUCGUCAGCUCGUGUCGUGAGAUGUUGGGUUAAGUCCCGCAACGAGCGCAACCCUUACUGUCAGUUACUACGCAAGAGGACUCUGGCAGGACUGCCGUUGACAAAACGGAGGAAGGUGGGGAUGACGUCAAAUCAUCAUGCCCUUUAUGACUUGGGCUACACACGUACUACAAUGGCGUUAAACAAAGAGAAGCAAGACCGCGAGGUGGAGCAAAACUCAGAAACAACGUCCCAGUUCGGACUGCAGGCUGCAACUCGCCUGCACGAAGUCGGAAUUGCUAGUAAUCGUGGAUCAGCAUGCCACGGUGAAUACGUUCCCGGGCCUUGCACUCACCGCCCGUCA